RNAcentral lists this ribosomal RNA (253 nucleotides) under uncultured bacterium. Its description in RNAcentral is "partial 16S ribosomal RNA". It matches the Rfam family "Bacterial small subunit ribosomal RNA", at positions 524 to 776 of the family's 1533-position model. The record is from RNAcentral.
UACGAAGGGUGCGAGCGUUAUUCGGAAUCACUGGGCGUAAAGAGUGCGUAGGCGGUCCAUUAAGUUUGUUGUUAAAGACUCUAGCCUAACUGGAGGGUUGCAAUGAAAACUGGUGAGCUAGAGGGUGAGAGAGAGAAGUGGAAUUCCUGGAGUAGCGGUAAAAUGCGUGGAUCUCGGGAGGAACACCAAUGGCGAAGGCAGCUUCUUGGCUCAUUCCUGACGUUGAGGCACGAAAGCGUGGGGAGCAAACAGG